Molecule: ribosomal RNA, 495 nt
Filed under: uncultured bacterium
Lineage: Bacteria
Description: partial 16S ribosomal RNA
Rfam family: Bacterial small subunit ribosomal RNA
Source: RNAcentral
UGAACGCUGGCGGCGUGCCUAAUACAUGCAAAUCGAGCGAACGGACGAGAAGCUUGCUUUUCUGAUGUUAGCGGCGGACGGGUGAGUAACACGUGGAUAACCUACCUAUAAGACUGGGAUAACUUCGGGAAACCGGAGCUAAUACCGGAUAAUAUUUUGAACCGCAUGGUUCAAAAGUGAAAGACGGUCUUGCUGUCACUUAUAGAUGGAUCCGCGCUGCAUUAGCUAGUUGGUAAGGUAACGGCUUACCAAGGCAACGAUGCAUAGCCGACCUGAGAGGGUGAUCGGCCACACUGGAACUGAGACACGGUCCAGACUCCUACGGGAGGCAGCAGUAGGGAAUCUUCCGCAAUGGGCGAAAGCCUGACGGAGCAACGCCGCGUGAGUGAUGAAGGUCUUCGGAUCGUAAAACUCUGUUAUUAGGGAAGAACAUAUGUGUAAGUAACUGUGCACAUCUUGACGGUACCUAAUCAGAAAGCCACGGCUAACUACGUG